This 443-nucleotide ribosomal RNA is filed under the name uncultured bacterium. Its description in RNAcentral is "partial 16S ribosomal RNA". It matches the Rfam family "Bacterial small subunit ribosomal RNA", at positions 338 to 795 of the family's 1533-position model. The record is from RNAcentral.
CCUACGGGAGGCUGCAGUGGGGAAUAUUGGACAAUGGGGGGAACCCUGAUCCAGCGACGCCGCGUGAGUGAAGAAGUAUUUCGGUAUGUAAAGCUCUAUCAGCAGGGAAGAAAGAAAUGACGGUACCUGACUAAGAAGCCCCGGCUAACUACGUGCCAGCAGCCGCGGUAAUACGUAGGGGGCAAGCGUUAUCCGGAUUUACUGGGUGUAAAGGGAGUGUAGACGGCGAUGCAAGUCUGAAGUGAAAGGCGGGGGCCCAACCCGCGGACUGCUUUGGAAACUGGAUGGCUGGAGUGCAGGAGAGGUAAGUGGAAUUCCUAGUGUAGCGGUGAAAUGCGUAGAGAUUAGGAGGAACACCAGUGGCGAAGGCGGCUUACUGGACUGUAACUGACGUUGAGGCUCGAAAGCGUGGGGAGCAAACAGGAUUAUAUACCCCGGUAGUC